Molecule: ribosomal RNA, 473 nt
Filed under: uncultured bacterium
Lineage: Bacteria
Description: bacterial SSU rRNA
Rfam family: Bacterial small subunit ribosomal RNA
Source: RNAcentral
ACUCCUACGGGAGGCAGCAGUGGGGAAUAUUGGACAAUGGGGGCAACCCUGAUUCAGCGAUGCCGCGUGUGUGAAGAAGGCCUGAGGGUUGUAAAGCACUUUUAGUGGGGAGGAAAGUUAACAGGUUAAGAGCUAGUUAAGUUGACGUUACCCACCAUAAACAGCACCGGCUAACUCCGUGCCAGCAGCCGCGGUAAUACGGGGGUGCAAGCGUUAUCCGGAAUCACUGGGUUUAAAGGGUGCGUAGGCGGCGUUGUAAGUCAGAGGUGAAAUCCCACAGCUUAACUGUGGAACUGCCUUUGAUACUGCAAUGCUUGAAUCAGGUUGAGGUCGGCGGAAUGUGUUGUGUAGCGGUGAAAUGCAUAGAUAUGACAUAGAACACCAAUUGCGAAGGCAGCUGGCUAGACCUGUAUUGACGCUGAGGCACGAAAGCGUGGGGGAGCGAACAGGAUUAGAUACCCUGUAGGUCAGUC